GACGAACGCUGGCGGCGCGCUUAACACAUGCAAGUCGAACGGAAAGGCCUGCUUUCCCUUGUGGAUUGCGGGUACUCGAGUGGCGAACGGGUGAGUAACACGUGAGUGAUCUGCCCCCAACUUGGAUAUAAGCCUGGGAAACUGGGUCUAAUUCCCGAUAGGACUGCAGGGUGGUGCCUGUGGUGGAAAACGAUUUUCUAGUGGUUGGGGAUGAGCUCGCGGCCUAUCAGCUUGUUGGUGGGGUAAUGGCCUACCAAGGCGGCGACGGGUAGCCGGCCUGAGAGGGUGGACGGCCACAUUGGGACUGAGAUACGGCCCAGACUCCUACGGGAGGCAGCAGUGGGGAAUAUUGCACAAUGGGCGGAAGCCUGAUGCAGCGACGCCGCGUGGGGGAUGACGGCCUUCGGGUUGUAAACUCCUUUCGACCGCGAGGAAGCCACCUGGUUGGAAGGGUGGUGACGGUAGUGGUAGAAGAAGCACCGGCUAACUACGUG
Molecule: ribosomal RNA, 494 nt
Filed under: uncultured bacterium
Lineage: Bacteria
Description: partial 16S ribosomal RNA
Rfam family: Bacterial small subunit ribosomal RNA
Source: RNAcentral